This 26-nucleotide non-coding RNA is filed under the name Homo sapiens (human). The record is from RNAcentral. Lineage: Eukaryota; Metazoa; Chordata; Mammalia; Primates; Hominidae.
UCUCCAAACAUGGGGUUUCUUCUGGC